This 74-nucleotide transfer RNA is filed under the name Escherichia coli. RNAcentral's name for it is "tRNA-Ile". It matches the Rfam family "tRNA". Rfam says of the family: Transfer RNA (tRNA) molecules are approximately 80 nucleotides in length. Their secondary structure includes four short double-helical elements and three loops (D, anti-codon, and T loops). Further hydrogen bonds mediate the characteristic L-shaped molecular structure. tRNAs have two regions of fundamental functional importance: the anti-codon, which is responsible for specific mRNA codon recognition, and the 3' end, to which the tRNAs corresponding amino acid is attached (by aminoacyl-tRNA synthetases). tRNAs cope with the degeneracy of the genetic code in two manners: having more than one tRNA (with a specific anti-codon) for a particular amino acid; and 'wobble' base-pairing, i.e. permitting non-standard base-pairing at the 3rd anti-codon position. Lineage: Bacteria; Pseudomonadati; Pseudomonadota; Gammaproteobacteria; Enterobacterales; Enterobacteriaceae. The record is from RNAcentral. RNAcentral also lists the same sequence under 2 other names.
GUACCCUUAGCUCAGUUGGCCAGAGCAGACGGCUCAUAACCGUCCGGUCGUAGGUUCGAGUCCUACAGGGUACA